Molecule: ribosomal RNA, 433 nt
Filed under: uncultured bacterium
Lineage: Bacteria
Description: partial 16S ribosomal RNA
Rfam family: Bacterial small subunit ribosomal RNA
Source: RNAcentral
AACGAACGCUGGCGGCAUGCCUAACACAUGCAAGUCGAACGAGACCUUCGGGUCUAGUGGCGCACGGGUUCGUAACGCGUUGGAACCUGCCCUUAGGUUCGGAAUAACUCCCCGAAAGGGGUGCUAAUACCGGAUAAUGUCUUCGGACCAAAGAUUUAUCGCCUUUGGAUGGGCCCGCGUUGGAUUAGCUUGUUGGUAGGGUAAAAGCCUACCAAGGCGACGAUCCAUAGAUGGUCUGAGAGGAUGAUCAGCCACACUGGGACUGAGACACGGCCCAGACUACUACGGGAGGCAGCAGAGGGGAAUAUAGGAAAAUGGGGGAAAGGCUGAUCAAGCAAUGCCGGGAGAGUGAUGAAGGCAUUAGGGUUGUAAAGCUAUUUUAACCGGGAAGAUAAUGACAGUACCGGGAGAAUAAGCACCGGCUAACUCCGUG